RNAcentral lists this ribosomal RNA (471 nucleotides) under uncultured organism. RNAcentral describes it as "partial 16S ribosomal RNA". It matches the Rfam family "Bacterial small subunit ribosomal RNA", at positions 333 to 796 of the family's 1533-position model. The record is from RNAcentral.
ACACUCCUGCGGGAGGCAGCAGUGGGGAAUAUUGCACAAUGGGCGCAAGCCUGAUGCAGCCAUGCCGCGUGUAUGAAGAAGGCCUUCGGGUUGUAAAGUACUUUCAGCGGGGAGGAAGGCGAUAAGGUUAAUAACCUUGUUGAUUGACGUUACCCGCAGAAGAAGCACCGGCUAACUCCGUGCCAGCAGCCGCGGUAAUACGGAGGGUGCAAGCGUUAAUCGGAAUUACUGGGCGUAAAGCGCACGCAGGCGGUCUGUCAAGUCGGAUGUGAAAUCCCCGGGCUCAACCUGGGAACUGCAUUCGAAACUGGCAGGCUAGAGUCUUGUAGAGGGGGGUAGAAUUCCAGGUGUAGCGGUGAAAUGCGUAGAGAUCUGGAGGAAUACCGGUGGCGAAGGCGGCCCCCUGGACAAAGACUGACGCUCAGGUGCGAAAGCGUGGGGAGCAAACAGGAUUAGAAACCCGGGUAGUCC